AUACGUAGGGAGCAAGCGUUAAUCGGAAUUACUGGGCGUAAAGCGGGCGCAGGCGGUUUUGGAAUGCAGUGGGGGAAUCCCCGGGGGCAACCUGGGAACUGCCCUUGUGACUGGAAGGCAGGAGUGCAGCAGAGGGGGAGAGAAUUCCGCGCGUAGCAAUGAAAAGCGUAGAUACGCGGAGGUACCCCGAUGGCGAAGGCAAUCCCCUGGGCCUGCACUGACGCUCAUGCGCGAAAGCGUGGGGAGCCAACAGGAGUAGAAUCCCUGGUAGACCACGCCCUAAACGGUGUCAACUGUUUGUUGGGGAUUUAUUUUCUCAGUAACGAAGCUAACGCGUAAAGUUGACCGCCUGGGGAGUACGUCCGCGAGGUUAAAACUCAAAUGAAUUGUCGGGG
Molecule: ribosomal RNA, 395 nt
Filed under: uncultured bacterium
Lineage: Bacteria
Description: partial 16S ribosomal RNA
Rfam family: Bacterial small subunit ribosomal RNA
Source: RNAcentral